AUUGAACGCUGGCGGCAGGCCUAACACAUGCAAGUCGAGCGGUAACAUGGGAGCUUGCUCCUGAUGACAAGCGGCGGACGGGUGAGUAAAGCCUAGGAAUCUGCCUAUUAGUGGGGGACAACGCGGGGAAACUCGCGCUAAUACCGCAUACGCCCUACGGGGGAAAGUGCUUUAUGUAUCGCUAAUAGAUGAGCCUAGGUCGGAUUAGCUAGUUGGUAGGGUAAAGGCCUACCAAGGCGACGAUCCCGUAGCUGGUCUGAGAGGAUGAUCAGCCACACUGGGACUGAGACACGGGCCCAGACUCCCUAGGGGAGGCAGCAGGUGGGGGAAUAUUGGGGACAAGUGGGGGGAAACCCUGAUCCAGCCAU
Molecule: ribosomal RNA, 368 nt
Filed under: uncultured Gammaproteobacteria bacterium
Lineage: Bacteria; Pseudomonadati; Pseudomonadota; Gammaproteobacteria
Description: bacterial SSU rRNA
Rfam family: Bacterial small subunit ribosomal RNA
Source: RNAcentral